UUUCCGUAGGUGAACCUGCGGAAGGAUCAUUGUCGUUGUCUUACAAAAACAUGACCAUGGCGCACGAGUCACAGAAAAGCUGCCGGGGGGGCUUUGCCCCGCCGGCCCACCGGCACCGGCAGUCUCCCCCUUCGGGGGGUGUGUUGCCUGUGUGCCGAACACGGCGUGGGUUGACGCCAAGGAACAAGAGAUGCUGAGGCGGCCGGCGGAGCGCUGUGGUGCCCCGCAGGGCGCCGAUGCGAAUGAACACAAUGAUGACUCUCGGCAACGGAUAUCUCGGCUCUCGCAUCGAUGAAGAACGUAGCGAAAUGCGAUACGUGGUGUGAAUUGCAGAAUCCCGCGAACCAUCGAGUCUUUGAACGCAAGUUGCGCCCGAGGGACCCGCCCGAGGGCACGCCUGCCUCAUGGGCGUUAGAAGCCCAUCACGCUCGAGGCGUCUAUGCCCCGAUGCGGAGCCUGGCUCUCCGAGCCCCACGGCACGGUGGGCCUAAGAGUACGGCCGUCGGAUGGGGCCGGGAGCGGCGAGUGGUGGUCUACUUCGCACGCCGCCCCGCACCCAUUGCCGGCAGAGGGCCUUGUACGACCCCCCGAACGAGGAGACGGCCGUAUAGCGUACCGCUGUGCGGCCACUUCGGACCGAUACCCCAGGUCAGGCGGGGCUACCCGCUGAGUUUAAGCAUAUAAAUAAGC
RNAcentral lists this ribosomal RNA (690 nucleotides) under Carpha alpina. RNAcentral describes it as "eukaryotic LSU rRNA". The stretch from base 257 to 411 matches the Rfam family "5.8S ribosomal RNA". RNAcentral also lists the same sequence under 1 other name. The record is from RNAcentral. Lineage: Eukaryota; Viridiplantae; Streptophyta; Magnoliopsida; Poales; Cyperaceae.